AGUGAACGCUGGCGGUAGGCCUAACACAUGCAAGUCGAACGGCAGCACAGUAAGAGCUUGCUCUUACGGGUGGCGAGUGGCGGACGGGUGAGGAAUACAUCGGAAUCUACUUUUUCGUGGGGGAUAACGUAGGGAAACUUACGCUAUACCGCAUACGACCUACGGGUGAAAGCAGGGGAUCUUCGGACCUUGCGCGAUUGAAUGAGCCGAUGUCGGAUUAGCUAGUUGGCGGGGUAAAGGCCCACCAAGGCGACGAUCCGUAGCUGGUCUGAGAGGAUGAUCAGCCACACUGGAACUGAGACACGGUCCAGACUCCUACGGGAGGCAGCAGUGGGGAAUAUUGGACAAUGGGCGCAAGCCUGAUCCAGCCAUACCGCGUGGGUGAAGAAGGCCUUCGGGUUGUAAAGCCCUUUUGUUGGGAAGGAAAAGCAGCAGGUUAAUACCCCGCUGUUCUGACGGUACCCAAAGAAUAAGCACCGGCUAACUUCGUG
This 491-nucleotide ribosomal RNA is filed under the name uncultured bacterium. Its description in RNAcentral is "partial 16S ribosomal RNA". It matches the Rfam family "Bacterial small subunit ribosomal RNA", at positions 29 to 507 of the family's 1533-position model. The record is from RNAcentral.